Molecule: long non-coding RNA, 895 nt
Organism: Myotis daubentonii (Daubenton's bat)
Lineage: Eukaryota; Metazoa; Chordata; Mammalia; Chiroptera; Vespertilionidae
Source: RefSeq, a predicted model, not a curated record
GCCCUCGCGAGUCCGUAGCCAUCUCGCUUCCCCACGGCGUUCAGGGUUCGGCCCCUUCCCUCGGUCUUCUGCGCUUUUCUCCUAGAACCACCGGUGCAGGCGCGUGCCUCCUCCCCCCUCCAAAACUCGGUGCGCCCCGCGUCCGUUCAUUCAUUCAUCUCUAGACCGCAAGUGCUUCCCGACCUCGGCAUGUGGAGGUGCCCCCAGGCUGAGCCCUGGGGUCCCAGCGGCCAGCUGAUCACUGUUUGGAUCUGUCGCACUAGACUCGCUUUACCCACGCUCCCUCCCCGGGGAGGAGGGCUUCCUCCCACCACGGCAGGCAGGCGAGCGCUCUCCUUCUCUUUGGAAAGUCACUGCAGCUGUUGCACACCGCCCUGCCCACACGCCCCUGUUCCCGCCGAGAGGAGUCCCCCCUCUCGUUCAUCUUCGUUCUUCUCUCUCUUAUGCGCACACGUCCAUCUGUGCACAGCUCGUCUCCCUUCAGAGCUGUGUUUGAGAUGGCUCUUUGGCCGGAGAUGUUUACGAUGCUCAGUGUAGAAUAUCCUUUACAGUUUUGAUGCAUUACGACUGACUGUUCAUUAAGAUCCCAGAACGUGAGAUUUUUAUGAUGAGUUUUCCAAUAAUGAACAUACAUAUAACCUCACCGUAAUGAAAUUCUGCGGUCCUUCCCAUCGGGGAGUCGAUUGCUGGAAAGUCUUCCUAUCCACUCACUGUCAGCCAAUGAAAAUGGAACAACUAUAAACCCACUUUGCCUCACCCUGUAUUGAUAAUAUAUACCAUCUGUGAGUCAGAUAUAACUUUAGCAGGGUUGGGGUUAUUGUUUCCAGACAGCACACGUGGAAUGAACAUGACAAAUGUUUAAAAAAUUUGGUCAUUAAAAUGUUUUACUCUUGCA